GUGGUCCUUUAACUAGGCACUACAAUUUGGUCAAAAUUAUGUUAAAAUAACCAACUUUCACAUGGGCAUGCAAAUGUGCCCACAAGUGCAAUACAGUACACAUUUUAUGUGAUAUGAUAUAUGCAAAUCUAUAUCAAUAUCAGGAGAUGAACUGAAUUAAUGGAAGCACACUAUAGUGGAGACAAUGUUUGGAGUGUUCCUUUCAGAACACGCAAUGCCAAUAGCAGCUGCUGCCCAGUAUAGUAACUACCAGCAAUCCUGGGCAGGCCAGGACAUGUAAGAUUGUGAGUGACACAUUAUAUGCAAACAUUUCUCCUGAUCAUCUGACAGCCACAUUUUGUCACAUAGUUUUUGAAACAACUAUCAUCAACAUCCACAUAUGAGUAUCUGUGCUCUUCGAAGGAAGGCUUUUAUAAGAAGUGAGGCAUUAGACAGACUGAUUAGAACUGCCAUCUGUGACCAGUGAACUGUGUCGUGUGCCUCUCUCCUCUACCUGAAAUUGUGCCCAACUGACUCACACAACAGCAAACCUGCAAUUAUCAACUAAGGAAGUUAAAAGGUUACUCCAACUACCAUGACCACUUUAGUGAUUUGAAGUAAUCAUGGUGGUAGAAGUAUGUAUGUUCGGAGUUCUUUUUAAUUGUGUGCCACGGCGAGUUGCACUAACAGCACACGUGACACUAGCAGCCCAGAAAUUACAUCUGUUGACAGCACGCACUGAACGCUGCCAACAGACAUGAGAAUCUUCACCUUGGAGGCAGAACGCCUGCAAGGAGAAGCUAGCUCUCCCCUGACUUUGGGUGACUGCACUCCCUUCAUUGCUGCCAGUUCUUUUCUUAAAAAGUACACGCGCUCCGAGCCUGCAGAUGGUAUCACAGACUUCUCUAUGAGAAGCCUGUUAUUGGUACGCACAUGGUGCCUGUGAUAUCAGGAGGAGGCAUGCAAGUCAACACCGGGAGCUUCGCACCAGUGCUGGAAU
Non-coding RNA from Pelobates cultripes (western spadefoot toad), 979 nucleotides. The record is from the annotation of a GenBank genome assembly. NCBI's taxonomy places the organism in Eukaryota, Metazoa, Chordata, Amphibia, Anura, Pelobatidae.